This 510-nucleotide ribosomal RNA is filed under the name uncultured bacterium. RNAcentral describes it as "partial 16S ribosomal RNA". It matches the Rfam family "Bacterial small subunit ribosomal RNA", at positions 28 to 507 of the family's 1533-position model. The record is from RNAcentral.
GACGAACGCUGGCGGCGUGCUUAACACAUGCAAGUCGAGCGAAGAGCGAUGGAAGCUUGCUUCUAUCAAUCUUAGUGGCGAACGGGUGAGUAACGCGUAAUCAACCUGCCCUUCAGAGGGGGACAACAGUUGGAAUCGACUGCUAAUACCGCAUACGAUCUAAUCUCGGCAUCGAGGAAAGAUGAAAGGUGGCCUCUAUUUAUAAGCUAUCACUGAAGGAGGGGAUUGCGUCUGAUUAGCUAGUUGGAGGGGUAACGGCCCACCAAGGCGAUGAUCAGUAGCCGGUCUGAGAGGAUGAACGGCCACAUUGGGACUGAGACACGGCCCAGACUCCUACGGGAGGCAGCAGUGGGGAAUCUUCCGCAAUGGACGAAAGUCUGACGGAGCAACGCCGCGUGAGUGAUGACGGCCUUCGGGUUGUAAAGCUCUGUUAAUCGGGACGAAAGGCCUUCUUGCGAACAGUUAGAAGGAUUGACGGUACCGGAAUAGAAAGCCACGGCUAACUACGUG